GGCAGAGGGGGUGAAGGAGGCUCCCUGCUGAGCAGUGAGCUCAACACAGGGCUUGAUCCCAGGACUCCAGGAUCAUGACUUGAGCUGAAGGCAGACGUUUAACCAACUGAGCCACCCAGACUCCAGGCCUGGCAUGGAGCCCAACUCAUGACCCUGAGAUCAAGAACUGAGCUGAGAUCAAGAGUUGGACGCUUAGCCAACUGAGCCACGUAGGCACCCCUAUCCACUCUUUUCUCAAGUCUGAUUUGGUGGCAGCAAAAGGAUCCAAAGGGAACUUCCGGCAGCAUCUGGGGCGAUGAGAACAUAGGCGUGGUCCCUGUGAACCUUCUGAGCUCACUGUCUUUCUCACCAUCUCGAGGGCCGUGGAUGGGUCGAGAUUUCCCCUGCUGUAAGACUGAUGCCUUCACAGGAAAAACCAACCAAAACAAACCAACUUAAAAAUGUGUUCCCCACUUGGGGUAUACUUUCCACUCUCUCCAGUGAUCAAGGCAUCCAUUUCACUGGACAAAUCACAUGUGCCUUGACGAAAACCUUACGAACUUCUUGGAAUUCUAUCAGGACACAACCUUCUGGUCCCUUGUUGUCUCCCGCUCGUAUGACCAGCUACUGUAAGUCUCCACUGUCUUAUGCUCAAGCCUGUCACCCAUCGAUUCACGAAGCUUUCCUGGAUCCCAAUUCAAAGAAACCUGUUCAUCACAGCCUAGAGUUUGGUGACUAUAUGAGCGUUGCCAGAGGAAAACCACUCUCCAGCCGCACUGGAAAAGGACCUUCCCAGGCGCUCCUGACCACGGACACUGCUGCAGAACUAUGAAGUAUUAAGCCUUGGGUACACAUCACAGAGAUAAGGCUCCACCCACCACCCGGUCCUGUACAGAUGCUGGAGACCUCCACAUCAAAGUGAUGAGGAAGACGAGUAGCAGACAUCGAGGUAGUCUGCUUCCACCCCAGAUGACGGAUGGAGACUCCAUACACUAAACCCACUCAUCACCAAGCAAAUGAUCUAAGACUGGAACAUGAACCUGAAGCUGUGACCUACCAAUAUCACAGAUGAAGGAAAAGCAUCGUGACCUAUGGGUACCACACAAAGGAUCAACAUAAGCUGUGAGAACUACAAAAGGGUAAUUGAGAGUUGGUGCUCAUGCCUUAAAUUUUGAUCACAUCUCUCAGUUAAGCUGACAAUCUGAUCAAAAGGGGGAACUGUUAAAAAGAAAACCACAGGCCCCAAAAUGGCAUCACUCAGGAUGGGUUCCCAAAGCGGGGCUUAAUAUAUAAUUUAAUUGCAGUUUCAGCCUCCCCCAGAAAUGCAGUCUAAACUGGUCAGUCAGGGGCGCCUGGGUGGCUCAGUUGGUUAAGCGGCUGCCUUCAGCUCAGGUCAUGAUCCCAGGAUCCUGGGAUCGAGUCCCGCAUCGGACUCCCUGCUCAGUGGAGAGCCUGCCUCUCUGCCUACUUGUGCUCUCUGUCAAAUAAAUAAACUGCUCAGAAAUUUAUUGAUGGGAGCCCAUGAGUCUGCCACAUGGACCCUCUCCAUUCCCCAAAGGAAAAUGAGGAGUUUGCAUAAGACCCUCUGCUUUUCCCUUUAAGAGAAAAUGUCCUUGCCUGAAGCAAUCUUUUUCUUUUGCUAAUAACCUUCCUGCCCUGCUCUCCUUCUAUAAAAACCUUCCAUUUUAUACAACUCCUCAAGGCUCCCCAUUCACAAAUCAUUUAAUAGAGCCAAUUAGAUCUUUAAAAAUUUCCUUGGUAAAAUUUUUAUCUAACAGGCAUAUUGUAAAAAAUUUGAAAAACUGAGAAAAGUACAAAGAAAAAAAUCACUCAUCAUUCCAUCAUCUAAUAUAACAAUAUGAGGUACAGUUGACCCUUGAACAACAUAGGGGUUGGGGUGUCAAAAAUCCACAUAUAACUUUUGAGUCCCCAGAAACAUAACUACUACUAACCUGUUGACCGGAAGUCUUACCAAUUACAAAACCAAUUAACACAUAUUUUGUAUGUUACAUGUAUGUUGUACUGUAUUCUUACAGUAAAGUAAGCUAGAGGAGAAACAAAGUUAUUAAGAAAAGUACAAGAAAAAUACAUUUACAGUACUGUAUUUAUAAAAAAAAAUCCACAUUAUAAGUGGAUGCAUGCAGCUCAAACCUGUGCUGUUCAAGGGUCAACUACACCUUCUUCCAAGCACCUCAACCUGUCUAUCGAGCUUUUCUAUUGAGAUUAUAAUACUAUCAGUAAUCCUGCUUUUCAUUUAGCAUUCUGACAUAUGCAUUUCCUCACAUUAUUAAAUACUCUUCAGAAGCCAUUACAUAUUUCACUGUCUGCCUGUACCACAAUUUCCUUAAUAAUCUCCCCCUUUUUUAAAGAUUUUAUUUAUUUGAGAGAGAGAGAGAGCACAAGUGGGAGGAGGGGCAGAGGGAGAGAGAGAAGCAGACUCCCCACUGAACGAGGAGCCUGAUGCGGGGCUCAAUCCAGGACACUGGGAUCAUGACCUGAGCUAAAGGCAGAUACUUAACCGACUGAGCCACCCAGGUGCCCCAAUAAUUCCCUUUCUGUUGGAGAUUUACGUUGUUUUCUUUGUUUGGUAAUUAAAAAUGUGAUAAGCUGCUCAGAGAGGAUUCUGCUUGUCCCUCUCCCUCUGCCCACCUCUUGCUCUCUCUCUCCCUGUCUCUCUCAAAUAUAUAAAAUCUUUAAAAAAAAAAAAGUGGUAUUUUUGAUUAUGUCCUUUGAACAGAUUCCUUAGAAAUUCUAAGUAAAAGGCUACAGAUUUUUUUU
Molecule: long non-coding RNA, 2757 nt
Organism: Mirounga angustirostris (Northern elephant seal)
Lineage: Eukaryota; Metazoa; Chordata; Mammalia; Carnivora; Phocidae
Exons: 5
Source: RefSeq, a predicted model, not a curated record